This 460-nucleotide ribosomal RNA is filed under the name uncultured bacterium. RNAcentral describes it as "partial 16S ribosomal RNA". It matches the Rfam family "Bacterial small subunit ribosomal RNA", at positions 338 to 795 of the family's 1533-position model. The record is from RNAcentral.
CCUACGGGCGGCAGCAGUGAGGAAUAUUGGUCAAUGGACGCAAGUCUGAACCAGCCAUGCCGCGUGCAGGAAGACGGCUCUAUGAGUUGUAAACUGCUUUUGUACGAGGGUAAACGCAGAUACGCGUAUCUGUCUGAAAGUAUCGUACGAAUAAGGAUCGGCUAACUCCGUGCCAGCAGCCGCGGUAAUACGGAGGAUUCGAGCGUUAUCCGGAUUUAUUGGGUUUAAAGGGAGCGUAGGCGGUCGGAUAAGUUAGAUGUGAAAUCCCGAGGCUCAACUUCGGAAUUGCAUCUGAUACUGGUCGGCUUGAGAGUAGUUGCGGUAGGCGGAAUGUGUGGUGUAGCGGUGAAAUGCUUAGAGAUCAUGAAGAACACCGAUUGCGAAGGCAGCUUACCAAGCUACUACUGACGUUGAGGCACGAAAGCGUGGGGAGCAAACAGGAUUAGAUACCCGAGUAGUC